Molecule: ribosomal RNA, 203 nt
Filed under: uncultured bacterium
Lineage: Bacteria
Description: partial 16S ribosomal RNA
Rfam family: Bacterial small subunit ribosomal RNA
Source: RNAcentral
AGUUCGGAUCGGAGUCUGCAACUCGACUCCGUGAAGCUGGAUUCGCUAGUAAUCGCGCAUCAGCCAUGGCGCGGUGAAUACGUUCCCGGGCCUUGUACACACCGCCCGUCAAGCCAUGGGAGCCGGGGGUACCUGAAGUCCGUAACCGCGAGGAUCGGCCUAGGGUAAAACUGGUGACUGGGGCUAAGUCGUAACAAGGUACC